RNAcentral lists this long non-coding RNA (897 nucleotides) under Olea europaea (common olive). RNAcentral's name for it is "long non-coding RNA (OEUR_LNC014190)". Lineage: Eukaryota; Viridiplantae; Streptophyta; Magnoliopsida; Lamiales; Oleaceae. The record is from RNAcentral.
AAAUGUUGAGCAAUGAGCUGAUAAGAAAGAUUCAAAGAAACCACUGUCUUUUCCUAAAGACUCCAACUGGCAACAUCUUCACCAAAAAAUCUCUCUAUUCUAUUAAACCUUAACUGGAAAUCUGAUUUCUAAAGACUUUGCCAAGACACUGCCUAUGGGAGAAAAACUCUAGGAAGUCAAAUCGAACCAAUGUAAUUUUUUUAAAUUCUCAAUGUUGUGUGUUAUUAUUUUUCUUGCCUCUCGUUCUUGUAUUAAUUGUUGCAAUUUUUCUGUUAUAAAUGUCUUCUUACAUAGGAGAAUGUUAAAUAUCUUCCAGGAAUAAAGCUUGGAGAAAAUGUUGUUGCAGACCCUGAACUUGAAAAUGCAGGUAUUUUUGCAAACAUUAGCGUUUAUCUUGUGAGAGUUGUCCAUUUAAAUUUCAUUUUUUUAUCUGAACUCGCUUGUUAAUGUUGUUUGUUAACAUUUUAUGUUUUUUUUUUAAUCUCCAGUCAGUCUAAAAUUUCCUCCUUAAUUUUCUUCUUCUAUUUCGGUUUUGCAUUUUACUGCUGUUUGAAAUCUUGCUGUUUUUAUCUUGUGGGGUGUCUUAAAUUUCAAUUUCUUGAUCUGGGUUAUUUUCGUUUGAGAACAUUGUGUCUCGAAUUUCAAUUUAUUGAUCAGUGAUUUGUUCUUUACAUUUUUUCUUGUGAGGUUGUCUUAAAUUUCAAUUUUUGGAUCUGGGUUUUGUCCUUUAAUGUUGUUUGAAAACAUUUACUGCUACUGUGUCUAUUAUUUGCUUAAUUUCCUAUCGUUCAACCCAAAUCAUACCCUAAAAAGAACCUAAUUACAAAAUGAUUCCUAAGUAAACCUAAUUAUUGAAGGGCCUUAUAUUAAUUAAUCGUCUAAGACCUCUAAAUUCUC